CCUGGCUGCCCCCGUCUUUGUGAUUUUUCCUCUGUUUGCCGAAAUGGAGAUUCCUGGUCGGAAUAUUAUCGCUUUUUUACGAGAUAAAUUGCAUAAAAAUUGAUUUUAAACAGCGGUUGACAUUCUUCGAAGUACGGUAAUGGAAUAUUUAGAAUUUUUUUGUCACGAAUUGCGCCAUGCGCACGACCCUGAUUUACCAUUUCGGAUAGUGUCUGGGACGCACGAACAAAACGCCGCUAUUCGGAUAUAACGAUGGAUUAUUUUGGACCAAACCAACAUUUGUUAUUGAAGUAGCAGUCCUGGGAGUGCAUUCUGACGAAGACAAACAAAAGAUGGAAAAUGGUUCGUGGGUGGUGGGGACAGAGAGACAGGCUGGUCAGAGCAGCAUUGAGGUGCAGCAGGAUGCAUCCUAGAUCCCAGAGGAGACACACUGGACUUUGUGCAAACUGGAAACCGCAUAUCCUGAGGAAAACGCUCCUGAUAUUCUAUCAACACAUUUCCAUGUCCAACGUGAGUAAUUCAUUUAAGUGUGAUAACUUCCGCAAGGCUGUCGGCCCAGACAGCAUUCCAAGCCGCGUCCUCAGAGCAUAUGCACAACACCUGGCUGGAGUGUUUACGGACAUAUUCAAUUUCUCCCUAUCCCAGUCUGUUGUCCUCACUUGCUUCAAGAUGUCCCCCAUUGUUCCUCUACCCAAGGAAGCAAAGGUAACUGAAGUAAAUGACUAUGGCCCUGUAGCACUCACUUCUGUCAUCAUGAAGUGCUUUGAGAGGCUAGUUAAGAUUGAUGUCACCUCCACCUUACCCAAGACCAUAGACCCACUACAACAUGCAUACCGCCCCAACAGAUCCACAGACAACGCAAUCACCAUUGCUCUGCACACUGCCCUAUCCAACCUGGACAGGAUGGAAUACCUGUGUGAGAAUGCUGUUCACUGACUACAGUUCAGCCUUCAGCACCAUAGUGCACUCCAAGCUCAUCACUAAGCUCAGAGCCCUGGGUCUGAACCCAGGGAAACUGGGGUCCUAGACUUCCUGACUUCCAGGUGGUGAAGGUAGGCAAUCAGCCAUGCUGAUCUCCACAGGGGUGCAUGCUCAGCUCUCUCCUGUGCUCCCUGUUCACCCUUAACUGCGUGGUUACGCAUGUCUCCAACUCAAUCAUCAAGUUGCUGACAAUAGAACAGUGGUAGGCCUGGUUACCACCAACAAUGAGACAGCGUACAGUGAGGAGGUGAGAGCCCUGGCAGAGUGGUGCCAGGAAAAUAACUUCUCCCUCAAUGUCAACAAAACGAAGGAGCUGAUCGUGGACUACAGGAGACAUCGACAGGGCCACAGUGGAG
This 1337-nucleotide long non-coding RNA is filed under the name Salmo salar (Atlantic salmon). RNAcentral's name for it is "lncRNA (ENSSSAG00000119145.1)". The record is from RNAcentral. Lineage: Eukaryota; Metazoa; Chordata; Actinopteri; Salmoniformes; Salmonidae.